RNAcentral lists this ribosomal RNA (601 nucleotides) under uncultured bacterium. RNAcentral describes it as "bacterial SSU rRNA". It matches the Rfam family "Bacterial small subunit ribosomal RNA", at positions 732 to 1337 of the family's 1533-position model. The record is from RNAcentral.
GGCCUUUACUGACGCUAAAGCUCGAAGGUGCCGGUAUCGAACAGGAUUAGAUACCCUGGUAGUCCGCACGGUAAACGAUGGAUGCCCGCUGUUUGCGAUACACUGUGAGCGGCCAAGCGAGAGCGUUAAGCAUCCCACCUGGGGAGUACGCCGGCAACGGUGAAACUCAAAGGAAUUGACGGGGGCCCGCACAAGCGGAGGAACAUGUGGUUUAAUUCGAUGAUACGCGAGGAACCUUACCCGGGCUUGAACUGCCGGCGAACGAUACAGAGAUGUUGAGGCCCUUCGGGGCGCCGGCGGAGGUGCUGCAUGGUUGUCGUCAGCUCGUGCCGUGAGGUGUCGGCUUAAGUGCCAUAACGAGCGCAACCCCUCUCCGUAGUUGCCAUCGGGUGAUGCCGGGCACUCUGCGGACACUGCCACCGUAAGGUGUGAGGAAGGUGGGGAUGACGUCAAAUCAGCACGGCCCUUACGUCCGGGGCUACACACGUGUUACAAUGGGUGGUACAGAGGGCAGGCGUCCGGCAACGUCCGUCUAAUCCCGAAAGCCAUCCUCAGUUCGGACUGGGGUCUGCAACCCGACCCCACGAAGCUGGAUUCGCUA